Molecule: ribosomal RNA, 253 nt
Filed under: uncultured bacterium
Lineage: Bacteria
Description: partial 16S ribosomal RNA
Rfam family: Bacterial small subunit ribosomal RNA
Source: RNAcentral
UACAGAGGUCCCAAGCGUUGUUCGGAUUCACUGGGCGUAAAGGGUGCGUAGGCGGUCGGGUAAGUCUGAUGUGAAAUCUCCAAGCUUAACUUGGAAAUGGCAUCGGAUACUAUUCGGCUCGAGGAAUGGAGGGGAGACUGGAAUACUUGGUGUAGCAGUGAAAUGCGUAGAUAUCAGGAGGAACACCGGUGGCGAAGGCGGUUCUCUGGGCAUUACCUGACGCUGAGGAGCGAAAGUGUGGGGAGCGAACAGG